GCCUUUAUGGCUUGGGGUUCUGCCGGAUGUGAGGGGUGGCGGUUAACACACGUCAAGCAAUCAACUCUGAAGACAGAUCUACUAGCUGGCUUUGCUGGCUGUAGGCUGAAUAACUACAGACUACUCUCAACAACGGAUAUCUUGGCUCCCGUAACGAUGAAGAACGCAGCGAAAUGCGAUACGUAGUGUGAAUUGCAGAAUUCCGUGAACCAUCGAAUCUUUGAACGCAAAUUGCGCUCGAGGCCUCGGCCAAGAGCAUGUCUGCCUCAGCGUCGGCUACUACCCUCAACCAACUUUCCUAUCGCAGGAUAGGGAAUGCCGGUUGGAUAUGGCCAUCCGGUCUGCCCUUCGGGUUGCCGGUCAGCUGAAAUACAUUCACGCUGUGGGAGCUGCUUUCCUUUCGAGGGAAGGCGAGUUUCGAUUUGGUAGGUGACCUUUGCCGGUUACAUGCCUUCGUUGCCCGCUAAGCUUCCCAUUAUGCGUUGUGCAGGACGCCUUUUGGCUUUCGACCUGAGGUCAGGCAAGAACACCCGCUGAACUUAAGCAUAUCAAUAAGCGGAGGAAAAGAA
Molecule: ribosomal RNA, 569 nt
Filed under: Trebouxia sp. TR1 LM-2014
Lineage: Eukaryota; Viridiplantae; Chlorophyta; Trebouxiophyceae; Trebouxiales; Trebouxiaceae
Description: eukaryotic LSU rRNA
Rfam family: 5.8S ribosomal RNA (bases 122-275)
Source: RNAcentral